AUUGAACGCUGGCGGCAUGCUUUACACAUGCAAGUCGAACGGCAGCGCGGGCUUCGGCCUGGCGGCGAGUGGCGAACGGGUGAGUAAUGCAUCGGAACGUGCCCAGUAGUGGGGGAUAGCCCGGCGAAAGCCGGAUUAAUACCGCAUACGACCUGAGGGUGAAAGCGGGGGACCGAAAGGCCUCGCGCUAUUGGAGCGGCCGAUGUCGGAUUAGCUAGUUUGUGGGGUAAAGGCUUACCAAGGCGACGAUCCGUAGCUGGUCUGAGAGGACGACCAGCCACACUGGGACUGAGACACGGCCCAGACUCCUACGGGAGGCAGCAGUGGGGAAUUUUGGACAAUGGGGGCAACCCUGAUCCAGCCAUGCCGAGUGCGGGAAGAAGGCCUUCGGGUUGUAAACCGCUUUUGUUCGGGAAGAAAUCCUCUGGGCUAAUACCCCGGGGGGAUGACGGUACCGGAAGAAUAAGCACCGGCUAACUACGUG
Molecule: ribosomal RNA, 484 nt
Filed under: uncultured bacterium
Lineage: Bacteria
Description: partial 16S ribosomal RNA
Rfam family: Bacterial small subunit ribosomal RNA
Source: RNAcentral